RNAcentral lists this ribosomal RNA (276 nucleotides) under Clostridioides difficile. Its description in RNAcentral is "partial 23S ribosomal RNA". It matches the Rfam family "Bacterial large subunit ribosomal RNA", at positions 1381 to 1655 of the family's 2925-position model. Lineage: Bacteria; Bacillati; Bacillota; Clostridia; Peptostreptococcales; Peptostreptococcaceae. The record is from RNAcentral.
UAGUCGGGACCUAAGCUGAGGCCGAAAGGCGUAGGUGAUGGACAACAGGUUGAUAUUCCUGUACUACCGAUAACCGUUUGAGAGAUGGGAUGACACAGUAGGAUAAGCUAAGCACACUGUUGGUUAUGUGUGCCCAAGCAUUGAGGCAGCCAGAGUAGGUAAAUCCGCUUUGAUAAUGCUGGGAUGUGAUGGGGAGCGAAAUUUAGUAGCGAGUAGCUGAUUUCACACUGUCAAGAAAAGUCUCUAUCGAGGUUAAAGGUACCCGUACCGCAAACC